CUAUAUCGUAAUUCGAUUGCUGCUUACGUGCGGGGAAAUUAUGUUGGCAAUGAAUAGAACAGGUAAUGAUUUUAUC
Molecule: transfer RNA, 76 nt
Filed under: Shewanella piezotolerans WP3
Lineage: Bacteria; Pseudomonadati; Pseudomonadota; Gammaproteobacteria; Alteromonadales; Shewanellaceae
Description: tRNA-Gly
Source: RNAcentral